GGAAGGAUCAUUAACACUUUUUCAUGAUCAAAUACCUCUCUCUCUUCCCCGCUUCAACUAUCCCUUUGUUGGGAUUUUUGGGCGGGAAAGGGGGAGAAAACACCUCAAUCGUUAAAGUUUAUAACCGCCGCAAGGUUGGUUAUAACCCAUUAUAAACACCUUUUCGAAACAUUUACUUUUAUAGUUUGCAUCUGUAACAGGAUGUGAGCGAAAAAAUAAUUAUAAACGAAAAGACGACUUUUAACAACGGAUAUCUUGGCUCUCGCAACGAUGACGAGCGCAGCGAAAUGCGAUACGUAAUGUGAAUUGCAGGAUUCAGUGAAUCAUCAAAAUCUUGAACGCAACUUGCGCUGGUGGUUCCGCCACCAGCAUGCCUGUUUGAGUGUCGGUCUCAACAUUCAAAUAAUAACCAUUAUUUGGAACUGAGCUGUUCAUCCGUCGUCACCUUGAUGAUGAUGGAUCAGCUUGAAAUGACCGAGGAGCAUAAACCAUCUUUGGCAGUACACCAAAGGAAGUUUCUUUCAAUGCUAGGAAUCAUGUUUGAUAUCGUUGAAAUUCAAUGGUUAUCGACCGAUUUCUGGUGAAAGCUUCUUGCUGCUGUUGUGUUUGCUCCCAAACCAAAAACGCACAAUUAUCUAACAAGAUAACUUUGUGCACUCAAACAAACGAUGUUCGUUUGAAUUGUUUUGCGGUUCCUUCCUUUCUUCACCGGAGGAGGGACCACUUAAAUACAUUCGACCUCAAAUCAGGCAAGAGUACCCGCUGGACUUAAGCAUAUUAUUAAGCGGAGGAGAAGAAACUAACCAGGAUUCCCCUAGUAAGGGCGACUGAAGCGGGAAUAGCUCAGAUUUGAAAUCUUUGGGGUUAGACCUCAACGAAUUGUAGUUUUGUGAACGAGCAUCACGGGCAGGUGGUCGCGGUUUAAGUCUCUUGGAAAGGAGCGCCAGAGAGGGUGACAGCCCCGUGUACGACCGCGAUGGCGAAAACGCGCCUGUCAACACGUGUUGCCGUUUCGAAGAGUCGGGCUGCUUGGGAGUGCAACCCAAAAUAGGUGGUAAAUCUCAUCUAAAGCUAAAUACGGGCGAGAGACCGAUAGCGAACAAGUACCGUGAGGGAAAGAUGCAAAGAACUUUGAAAAGAGAGUUAAAAGUACUUGAAAUUGUUAAAAGGGAAGCGAUUGGAAGCAGUCACUGCCCUGCGGCCAUUCAGGCUCGGAGCUGUGCGGGUGCGUUGACGGCGGCGAGGGGCCCAUCGGUGGUCUCCGCUUUGUCGGCGGCGCGAUCUGUGCAGACGGGCUGCACUUGGCUGCGCGGGCGUGUCAGCGUGGAUUGGUCGUUUGCGGUUGAAUAGCGACAGCAAGGUGCCAUGGUGCUCGCGCACUGUGGGUUAUAGGCUGCGCCGGAUGCCGUGCGUACCGAUCGAGGCGUGUUCUCAACACGUGGGGAGGCCUCCUUCAAUGGGGUGGCCAGCCGGUGUGCCAGUGUGUGGCGGCGAUGCGGACAGCAAAGCUGUGCGUGUUGGCGGUCCAUGUGCUGCUCGCGCCGGUGAGCACAAGAUUUCCUCCCAAAGACGCAUGACGAAAUGCUUUCCAUCGACCCGUCUUGAAACACGGACCAAGGAGUCUAACAUGUGUGCGAGUGCUUGGGUGGAAGAAAACCCGGGACGCGUAAUGAAAGUGAAUCUUACAAGGUGGGACGCACUCUAAAAGGGGCGCGGCACCAUCGACCGAUCUUGAUAAUUUGGAUAGAUUUGAGUGUGAGCACACCUGUUGGGACCCGAAAGAAAGCGAACUAUGCUUGCAUAGGGUGAGGCCAGACGAAAGUCUGGUGGAGGCUCGUAGCGAUACUGACGUGCAAAUCGUUCGUCAAAUGUGAGUAUAGCGGCGAAAGACUAAUCGAGCUUUCUAGUAGCUGGUUUCCUC
This 1921-nucleotide unclassified non-coding RNA is filed under the name uncultured fungus. RNAcentral's name for it is "sequence contains 18S rRNA gene, ITS1, 5.8S rRNA gene, ITS2, 28S rRNA gene". The stretch from base 736 to 1921 matches the Rfam family "Eukaryotic large subunit ribosomal RNA", at positions 1 to 961 of the family's 3401-position model. The record is from RNAcentral. Lineage: Eukaryota; Fungi.